AUCUGGGCGGCGGAAUUCAGGAUGGCUGGCGUGUCUUCGCGGCACGUCGGUCGUUUGAUAUUUCCGUCGCCGAUUACCCGCAGACGUCGCGACCUGUUCGCGGUCGGCCCCUGCUCGGAGGAGCCGCGUUCGAGCUCGUUGUGUGCGCGUUUCGGCGUGCAACACGGCGAAGRCGCGGAUCUCUGGCUGGCCGUCGGACAGUAUGCUUAACGGUGUCCGGUGUCGUCGUCUCGUACGCGCGCGCACCGGUACCGGUCAGCGACGAAUUCUUCGGGCCUCUUUCCGACCCGUCUUGAAACACGGACCAAGGAGUCUAACAUGCGCGCGAGUCGCGGGGUGUCGAGCGUACUUCGGUACGUUCGUUACGUUGCGAAACCCGUAUAUGUCGAAGGCGUAAUGAAAGUGAAUGGGGAAGAUGGUGUUCCGAGUUCACGUUCCGCGAUCGUCGGUAUCGCGGCCGGACACCCGCAUUCCCGGGGCGUCUCAACGGCCCGUCGCUGAUGCGGACAGUCGUCUCUCGGGGCGGCUGUCGGUCGGCGACGAACCGA
This 548-nucleotide ribosomal RNA is filed under the name Lindingaspis rossi. RNAcentral's name for it is "LSU rRNA". Lineage: Eukaryota; Metazoa; Arthropoda; Insecta; Hemiptera; Diaspididae. The record is from RNAcentral.